Molecule: ribosomal RNA, 253 nt
Filed under: uncultured bacterium
Lineage: Bacteria
Description: partial 16S ribosomal RNA
Rfam family: Bacterial small subunit ribosomal RNA
Source: RNAcentral
UACGUAGGGUGCGAGCGUUAAUCGGAAUUACUGGGCGUAAAGUGUGCGCAGGCGGCCGCGCAAGUUGGGUGUGAAAGCCCCGGGCUUAACUUGGGAAUUGCGCUGGAAACUACGUGGCUGGAGUGUGGCAGAGGAAGGUGGAAUUCCACGUGUAGCGGUGAAAUGCGUAGAGAUGUGGAGGAACACCAAUGGCGAAGGCAGCCUUCUGGGCCAACACUGACGCUCAUGCACGAAAGCGUGGGGAGCAAACAGG